Non-coding RNA from Rhopilema esculentum, 530 nucleotides. Lineage: Eukaryota; Metazoa; Cnidaria; Scyphozoa; Rhizostomeae; Rhizostomatidae. The record is from RefSeq and is a predicted model, not a curated record.
CGCUUUCAUGUUCGCGAAGAAAAUUACCAGAAGGAGAACUUUUCAAACAAUUUGCAAAUGUCUGGGUUCAUCGUUAAAUAUCGUCAAUAUUUUAGAUUAUUUGCUGCUGACGAUUAACAGCAUUGCUUUUGAAAUGAUCACCAAGCUUGCUGUGGACUUGCUUUGUUCAAAAUAGGAGGAAAAUUGAUAGAUUAUUCUUGUAUAUUUAUGUGUACAAGAAGUUAGGCCAACUUCCGAGAUCACGAAAAAUAGUUUGUUGCCGAUAAUUAGAUUGGGAUUAAGACUUUGAAUCAAAAUGGGUACUGUAUCAGGCAUAAUCGGGAUGUCAUUUACUGCUGCCAUUGGCAUACUGUUGGUUGUGCUUGGCUGUGCACUAAAGGAGUUUCAAACAGAAAAGGGACCCUGGUGGGUGCUGUUUGUCUGUGAGUAUUCUUUAGUUGUUUUAUUAUACGAUAUAUUAUUACACUUGGUUAUGAUUCUUCAUUGAUUUUAUAUUAAAGAUUUUUGAUUAACUAGCAUCUUAAGUUGAU